CAACAAUAGAAUGUAGCUUCUAGGUUCUAAUAGAAUUAUCAUUUAUGAUUACUUGUUACUAUAAGUUUGAAUAAUAUAUGAUGUAUAACAUAUAUAGAAAAAAUAUUGAGUAUUUUAAUAUUAAUAAAUGAUGAAUGUAUAAUAUUUAUUUAUAGUCUAAAGAGCAGUUUAUAAACGUUAACAAAAAUGUGUUAUCUAUACGUAUAAUAUAUCUUUCAUCUUAUUUCUCCUGAACUAAAUUUCGCAUAUCUAUAAAUUGAGUCUCUUAACGAGAUCUGCUUGAAAAAUUAAAAAAAAAUUAACGAACAAAAAAUAAAAAUUAUAAAAAUAAACAAAAUUAAAAGAUCAUGGCAUAAUGGGCAAAAUAGAAGCACCGAGUGCUAAUAAUGGUUUGGUAACGUUGGCAACUGUUCCAACGUUACCAACUGGCGAAAAAAUUUUCUCUGUUAAUCGUAUGCCAUACAUCAUAUUAAAACUCUUAAUUGAGAUCUCUAACUUAAUCAAACCCAAAACACCUCUUAAUAUAUUAACCGCCCCAAUCGUGAAUAUGGAAUCCUACUCGACUCUUCGCUAAAUAUCAUAGAGAUAUGCUAAAUAUCCACUGUAUUUGAUAACGAAAUACUUGAAAAAUAACUAACAGGAUAAGUAUAUGAAGUGCAUCCCUAUUAAAACAUCUAUCUUCAUUUAUUUUUAAUACUUUCAGAAAUUUAAAACAAUAAUAAAAUAAAUUAUUAUUUAUUAAAAUUUAAAUUUUAGCAAUAUAAUAUAAUCAAC
RNAcentral lists this long non-coding RNA (774 nucleotides) under Androctonus crassicauda. The record is from RNAcentral. Lineage: Eukaryota; Metazoa; Arthropoda; Arachnida; Scorpiones; Buthidae.